RNAcentral lists this small RNA (135 nucleotides) under Pseudomonas sp. LAIL14HWK12:I10. RNAcentral describes it as "Pseudomonas sRNA P18". It matches the Rfam family "Pseudomonas sRNA P18". Lineage: Bacteria; Pseudomonadati; Pseudomonadota; Gammaproteobacteria; Pseudomonadales; Pseudomonadaceae. The record is from RNAcentral. RNAcentral also lists the same sequence under 2 other names.
GGCGGCGUGCUGCUGAGCCCGUUUCUGAUUUAUGUGCUGCUGGCGCUGGUGCUCACCGGGGUGUUGCGCUUGUUGGUGCAAGCCACGCCGUUGGGUCGCUGGAUCUGGCAUGAAGCGCUGUUCGACGCGGCGUUG